Long non-coding RNA from Rhipicephalus microplus (southern cattle tick), 303 nucleotides. The record is from RefSeq and is a predicted model, not a curated record. Lineage: Eukaryota; Metazoa; Arthropoda; Arachnida; Ixodida; Ixodidae.
GGUCACGCUUAUCACCUGUAACCAGUUUGCUUGGAUGCGUUGUCACUUGUCACGAUUCACGGUCGCUGUGCAACGCUGAAAUGUGCGGUCUUCGAGGUUCUCAAAAAGUGGCUCCUGGCCUAUCUGACAUGGAAGCAGCUGUGUACAAUGGGCGAGAAACCUGCUACGUGACACGCCUUGCGAAGAAGCAGCCCCGAGCGUUACAUGUGUUAUGAGACUGCCAUGCAACGACAGGUUGACUACCCUUGAGUGUCCACUAUGCAAGCACAUUGAGACAUCUGAACGUCCGCUACAACAGGUCAU